GCCACCGCAGGAAAGGCGCUCAGCUGGGAGGAAGGAGCACGUUCAGCCUGGGGAGGAGGAUGGGAGAAGGAGGCAGAUGAAGGCAAUGGUGAUCAGGUUUUCGGCGGGAAGGUGACCUCCGACCUGGCUGACACAGGGCAAGGAAGAGAUCUCCGUCUCUGCAGAGGGGCCUGAGGGCAGGACACAUCAGGCCGAGAACUGCCAGUGCAAAGGCCUGGGGGCCGGAAGGUCUUGGUCGGGGAGCCCCGGCGCAGGCGCAGGCUGAGGCCCUCGGAUCCCCAGCGGGUCCUCGGCAUCAGUCACUCUCUGCGAGUCAGAGCUGAGGGUCACCGCCUGCAGGAGCCUCCGUGCGCGGCCCCACUCCCUCACCUGCGUCCCCGUGGGGAGGCGACCCUGACCGCCCUCAUUCCGGACGCCAGCAGGGCUCCGGCAGCCAGCGGUCCCCUCCCGAGUCUCUGCUCCUGCCAGGACUCUGCAGGAGCGGGACCCCAUCGCCGCGGCUGGGAUGCCGUGAGAGUUUCAUUCCACUCAAAGGCUCUUGGAAAAUUCACUCGAAAGGUCUUGGAAAAUUGGGGACAUACAUCUUUAAAAGCUGGAGACACUUUAUGGAGCGGAGUAUCUGCACCGCCCCCGCCCCAACUCCUGUUCUUCCUCCCCUCCCCGAGCAGGUCUGGGUGAUGGCUGGGGAUUCGCCAUGGCGUGGGGAUCCGGCGUGGUAUCCUGCACCGGGUAGUGGCGCGGUGUGUCCCGAGGCUAAUUUGGAAAAAGGCGAAACCUGAGGGGCGGCGGCGGCGAGCCCUCGGCACAGCGUCCCCUGGCGGCCGCCAGGCUCAGCCAGGUCUGAGAGCCGGGAGGUCGCCGGAAGAGCCGGGCCCAAGGCAGGAUCAGCCCAGCUCCUCCAGGUAUACAGUGAAAAGUCUUCAUCCCAGAAAAGCUGUCAGUCAAAUGUUAAAACUGAGGGACAUUCUACAAAAUACCUGACUAAUAUCCUCAGAACUGUCAAAGUCAUCAAAACCCAGGAAGAGUCUGAGAAAUUGUCACGGCCGAGAAGAGCCUAAGGAGACAGGACCAUCAAAUGUAAUGUUGUGUCAUGGAUGAGGUCCUGGAGCAGAAAAACGGACAUCUGGUGAAAACCAAGGAAAUCCGAGUCAAGAUGGACUUUAGUUAAUGCAUCAACACCGGUUCAUUACUUGUAACAAACAACACAUACCAACGACCGAUGCUAAUAAUAGGGAACCCUGGGUGAAAGCUUUAUGGAGACUCUUAUUAUCUUUGCAAUAUUUCUGUGACUGUAAAACUGUUUAGAAAAUAAAGUUUAUUUUUUUAAAGAGUC
Molecule: non-coding RNA, 1333 nt
Organism: Macaca mulatta (Rhesus monkey)
Lineage: Eukaryota; Metazoa; Chordata; Mammalia; Primates; Cercopithecidae
Source: RefSeq, a predicted model, not a curated record